AGGGCACCACCAGGAGUGGAGCCUGCGGCUUAAUUUGACUCAACACGGGAAAGCUUACCCGGCCCGGACACUGGAAGGAUUGACAGAUUGAGAGCUCUUUCUUGAUUCAGUGGGUGGUGGUGCAUGGCCGUUCUUAGUUGGUGGAGCGAUUUGUCUGGUUAAUUCCGAUAACGAACGAGACUCUAGCCUACUAAAUAGACCAGAGGCUUCUUAAAACACGUCUCUGGCUGCUUCUUAGAGGGACAGGCGGCGAUUCAGCCGCACGAAACAGAGCAAUAACAGGUCUGUGAUGCCCUUAGAUGUCCGGGGCCGCACGCGCGCUACACUGAAGUGAUCAGCGUGCUUUUUGUACCCUGCUCUGCCAAGAGUGGGUAACCCAAUGAACCUUCUUCGUGAUUGGGAUAGGGGAUUGUAAUUAUUCCCCUUGAACGAGGAAUUCCCAGUAAGCGCGAGUCAUAAGCUCGCGUUGAUUACGUCCCUGCCCUUUGUACACACCGCCCGUCGCUACUACCGAUUGAA
Molecule: ribosomal RNA, 519 nt
Filed under: uncultured eukaryote
Lineage: Eukaryota
Description: SSU rRNA
Rfam family: Eukaryotic small subunit ribosomal RNA
Source: RNAcentral